CUUUCCCCGUCUUCCUGGUCGUUCUUCGGGGUCUCCGCCGCCGGAGGGUUCGAUUUUGCUUCCCCGAGUUCUUCCUCCGCCCCUUUCUUCGCCCGAGUUCUGGUUCGUCUGGGUUCUUUGUAGCUGGUCUGCUUCGCUCGUCUCCAUCAAUGGCGGCGGAAGAGGGAAGUCUGGUUUGUUUUCGCUAUGAUUUUAGGUGGGUUCGGUAGGAUUCGUGCUGUUCCGAGAUUCCUACUAUUCCUCUGCAGCUCAACACCUCAGGCGCCAUGCUAGGUAUGAAGGUGGAAUUUACAUCAUGUUGUAUGCGGAAAUUUGGACCGAGAAGUUUAUGAAAUAUUUCACCAAGGAAAUCGUUCCAAAAUAUACUAUGCUGAAGGCCUUUGACAUGUACUGUAUCCAAAAUGAGGUUGCUGUAAUAGUUUGAAAAGAAUAAGAAAGGCAAGU
Long non-coding RNA from Lolium perenne, 444 nucleotides. RefSeq lists it as uncharacterized. The record is from RefSeq and is a predicted model, not a curated record. NCBI's taxonomy places the organism in Eukaryota, Viridiplantae, Streptophyta, Magnoliopsida, Poales, Poaceae.